AGCGAACGCUGGCGGCAGGCUUAACACAUGCAAGUCGAACGCAUCACUUCGGUGGUGAGUGGCAGACGGGUGAGUAACACGUGGGAACGUACCCUUCGAUCUGGGAUAACUUCGGGAAACUGGAGCUAAUACCGGAUACGCCCUUUUGGGGAAAGGUUUACUGUCGAAGGAUCGGCCCGCGUCUGAUUAGCUUGCUGGUGGGGUAACGGCCUACCAAGGCGACGAUCAGUAGCUGGUCGGAGAGGAUGAUCAGCCACACUGGGACUGAGACACGGCCCAGACUCCUACGGAAGGCGGCAGUGGGGAAUAUUGGACAAUGGGCGCAAGCCUGAUCCAGCCAUGCCGCGUGAGUGAUGAAGGCCUUAGGGUUGUAAAGCUCUUUUGUCCGGGACGAUAAUGACGGUACCGGAAGAAUAAGCCCCGGCUAACUUCGU
This 434-nucleotide ribosomal RNA is filed under the name uncultured bacterium. Its description in RNAcentral is "partial 16S ribosomal RNA". It matches the Rfam family "Bacterial small subunit ribosomal RNA", at positions 29 to 506 of the family's 1533-position model. The record is from RNAcentral.